RNAcentral lists this small RNA (140 nucleotides) under Mytilus galloprovincialis (Mediterranean mussel). The record is from RNAcentral. Lineage: Eukaryota; Metazoa; Mollusca; Bivalvia; Mytilida; Mytilidae.
GUUUUUUGUCAAAAAUGAAAGUGGCCGCAUCCGUGUUCAUUCUCAACCUUUAUAUAUGUCAUGUAUUAUCAUAAAAUACAACUUACAUUUCGAUAUUAAGGAUGAACACGAAUGCGGCCAUUUUCGUUUUACACGAAAAC